Molecule: ribosomal RNA, 557 nt
Filed under: Burkholderia cenocepacia
Lineage: Bacteria; Pseudomonadati; Pseudomonadota; Betaproteobacteria; Burkholderiales; Burkholderiaceae
Description: bacterial LSU rRNA
Rfam family: Bacterial large subunit ribosomal RNA
Source: RNAcentral
GCGAUAAAWGARGGGGUGAAAGGCCCCCUCGCCGUAAGCCCAAGGUUUCCUACGCAACGUUCAUCGGCGUAGGGUGAGUCGGCCCCUAAGGCGAGGCAGAAAUGCGUAGCUGAUGGGAAGCAGGUCAAUAUUCCUGCACCAUUGUUAGAUGCGAUGGGGGGACGGAUCGCGGAAGGUUGUCCGGGUGUUGGAAGUCCCGGUCGCUGCAUUGGAGAAGGCGCUUAGGCAAAUCCGGGCGCGUAAUUCAAGGGUGUGGCGCGAGCUCCUUCGGGAGCGAAGCAAUUGGAAGUGGUUCCAAGAAAAGCCUCUAAGCUUCAGUCUAACGAUGACCGUACCGCAAACCGACACAGGUGGGCGAGAUGAGUAUUCUAAGGCGCUUGAGAGAACUCGGGAGAAGGAACUCGGCAAAUUGGUACCGUAACUUCGGGAUAAGGUACGCCCUUGUAGCUUGACUGGCCUGCGCCAGGAGGGUGAAGGGGUUGCAAUAAACUGGUGGCUGCGACUGUUAAUAAAAACAACAGCACUCUGUACAAACAACGAAAGUGGAACGUAUAGGG